GACGAACGCUGGCGGCGUGCUUAACACAUGCAAGUCGAACGGUGAUCCGGGUACUUGUACCUGGUGAUCAGUGGCGAACGGGUGAGUAACACGUGAGUAACCUGCCCUCCACUCUGGGAU
This 120-nucleotide ribosomal RNA is filed under the name uncultured bacterium. RNAcentral describes it as "partial 16S ribosomal RNA". It matches the Rfam family "Bacterial small subunit ribosomal RNA", at positions 28 to 144 of the family's 1533-position model. The record is from RNAcentral.